UGCAAGUAAAUAUAGUCAGAAAUCAAAAUUUUAAAGCAAAAUACAGUUUCCCAAAUUGCUUUGGAACUCUUUAGCUUUAUUCCCUUCUAAGAGAGGAAGGGGACUAAGGCAUAGAAAGACACAUGAUAAAACCAAUGGUAGAGGAAGAGGGGAAACCCUUCCAACUAUAGGCUACACAUAACAAAACAGCAUGUACAAAAAAGCCCUGUGGCCUCCUAUUGCCAGAGAAGGUAAAAGCUUUGUGAAUGUCCCACAAAGGACUGGACCUCGGACUUUCCCCAGUUCCCAAGGAGGGGGCACACUCCUAUUCUGGGAACUUAUCUUUCUUUUAAUAAAAGGUUUCUAUUUCUACUAACUAUGUGUCCUUGGUGCAAUUCCAGGACAGAGAACCUGGAAAUCCCAUGGGUGCCAUCUGGACUCUGAUUUAUGCUUAUAACACUUUUGCUUCAUCCUGGAAUCUAUUCCUGUCUUCCAUUCCUCCUGCUUUCGCUCUCCCCGGUGUCCCGGCCAGCGGGAUCUUCAGCAGAGACCCUAGAAGCGGGAAUGGCGAAUGAAAGGGACAAGAGACACAAAGAAUUGACAGCAAGACAGUAUUCUGAUCAAGCUGCAAAAUUUUAUUUUUCUCAGGUGGGUUUUAUAGUAAGCAGACCAGGAAACUUUCUUUGGGAAAAGAUCAGGGGACUGUUGAGUUGCCAAGCAACCCAACCAAGCAACCUAACCACAAAACAUUGUUACUAAUGGCCAGUGUAGCAGAAAGAUAAGGAAAUGUUAAGUUAUUUUCUAAUAACUCAAGACUUGUCCAGGCAUGUCAAAAGUUUCUGGUUAGUGGCUAAAUACUGGACAACAGAAACUUAACUCAGGCAGGCAAUAUGGCAUGGCUCUUAAAAUUGUCCUCGGCAUCUCCUCCCUUUAUUUUAUUUUGUGAGGGAGUGUGCCCACCUGAACGGUGGUGGACCUUAACUGGCUGGGGGAGACAUUGACCUGACUCCUCCUAGAGCCACUGCGGGCUUGAGGAAAAGGGUACCUUUUGGGGAGGAGAGGGCUUAGGCAUUUUGGUGCCUCUAGAUACCAACCUCUACACAAGUCAGGUUUGUCUCUCAGGGAAUCUGAACCAAGGGCUAUUAAAUCAGCCUUCCCCUGCAGGGCUUGGCCUUGCACCCAGCGGCGUCCAUACCGGCUGAUGCCAAUAAGCAGAGGUUCGGACUUUAUGCUGCUCCUAAAGGAGAAGAGGACUGAGAAAUAUCAUGGGGAUCACAUCCUCAAUCCAGCAUUUCAAGUCGAUGGUAAUGAACCUGUAUAGGUUUUGAUGCCAGGGAGUCUAUUUGUUUUUUGAUGAAUUGAAUUAGCCUGCCAAUUAUAAAGGGACCCAAAGUUACAAAUAGCAAAAGGCUAACUAAUGGUCCUGCAAGAGGCAUUAAAAGGGAGAACAUGGAUGAUCUCCACCAAUCAUCUGCCGCAGCAGAGAAUUACUGCUUAUGUAGCUCUAGGCUAAGUUUAUGUAGCUUGUUUAUCUGGGUUUCUACCAUUCCAGACUCAUUAAUAUAAUAACAUUCUUCCCUCAGAAAAAGGCAUAUCCCACCCUUUUCUGCUGUCAGCAGGUCCAAGGCUUGUUGAUUUUGUAGGGCAACCUGUGCAAGAGAGGUUAACUGCCUCUGGAGGGAGGAUAAGGAUGCUGAAGAAGCCUCAAUUGCUACCUGAAGUUGCUUGGAUAGGUGAGCUGUUGUUAUGAAGGAAUGACCCAGAACUCCUCCUGCCAAGCCUGCAGAGACCAGAGAGGUGGCAAGGGAAAUUCCGGUCACAAGGGGCAAGAAGACAGCUCUUUUUUGCUUGGGCUGGGGGGUGUCCCAUCCCAAGAACUCCGCAGGGAUCCUGAGCAUAAGUUGUGGGACCAGAGUGACAGGUAAGCAGAGCAUGUCCUGUGGGAUAGGGAUGGUCAAAUUUUUUGAUUGAGUGCCACUGCACCAAAAGAAACAUCCAGGGAGGGAAAAGGAUGAUUGGGUAAUACGGUCUGGUUGCAAAAGGGAAGGGAAACACUAGAAAAGCAAAAAUCAAACUUAGAGCGGCCUGGGUCAAGAAACAAGGGUACUUCAGGGAUGAGGUGGAAGUCAUGGGAAUUAUCAGUGGUGGUGAUAAGGACCUGAGGCAGGGGUACUGCUAUCAGGGGAGUAAGUCCUAAGGCUCCACAUAGGAAGCAUGAUGAGAGAUUCCCAAUGCCAGUGUCAUUAAAUUUUUUUCUUGUAUAAGGAUAUUAUGAUGGACCGUAGAUUGUACUUGUACAUAAGAGCGCCAAAUGUAAAGUUAGGCCAUGUGGCCGUUCAGGCCAUGUACAUGGCUCCUUCUACUGGACUAGUCCAUUGUAAGUCCCACAGUCCCAAACCACUAGGGAAUAUCUUGUAGAUGUCUUAUAAAAUUUAGGGCCGUUCCAUUCUCUCCCAAUUACCUGUCCCUUAGCAGGAGGAAUGGCAUCAUGAAUUUUGCAGUAAGAAUAGGGACAUCCUACACUUUUCUUCUUCAAAUAAGUUUUGCAAUUGUGAACAGUUUGAUAAAAAAAAAAAAAAAAAACAGAUAGCAGGAGCCACCUUGCCGGGGGAAUUAUGGAAAUCAGUAAAGUUGAGUAAAAUGGGAUUCUGACAUCCUUGCAAGGGGCAAUCAGUGGUAGCCAAUAGGUGACCAAAGGUCUGUGUUUUAGCAUAAUUAGUAUAAUUUUCAGUCAAAUAAAAGCGCCAUGCAAAUGAGGAUGUGUCGACCGGUCUCUGGUCUUGAUAAGAAGGUACAGGCAGCAGCAAGAUCCAGAAUAUCCAGGGAAAUUCUCCCAGUUUUUUCUUCAUCAGCAUCUGUAAAGAAGGAGAAGGGAAGGGAAACAAUCUCAGGGGCUAUCCUUUUCCCUGGGUGAUUGGUUAGAGCUGACUUGUUUAACUAAUCUCUCGGGGAGCCAAUGAGGGCCUCCCUCUGUUUGGUCAUAGAUGCAUGCUGACCCUCGACCCCAGAUCCACUGUGCAGUUAAGGGGUCUCACCACAUGACCAGUGCUUGGUGGCUUUGAGUUUGUGGAGGCCAAAAGCGAUCCGCUGCAGACCUUUCAUUCUUGUCCAAGCAGGACUCCCCGAGCUUGACCUAAUGUUUGGCUAUGGGUCUGCAUCUGUUUCCAUCAGUUACUGGAUGAAGCCUCUCUGAUGACAAUUGGGGUAGGCACCAAUUUAUGAAUAUAGCAGAAUAUCAUUAGGCAUCAUUACAUUGAUAUUUUUUCCCCUCUAAUCAUGUUUGGUUCUCUCAUAGGUCUUUGGGCCAUCCAGACUCUGGGUCCUGGCACCCAGGCUGUGUCAGGGAUGGACUCACUCUUGUGGCAUGGGUCUCAGGCUGGACCAGUCAUUGGUUGGCCACUCCUACAAUCUUUGUGCCACCCUUUCCCCAGCACAUUCCAUAGGCAGGACAGACUGUAGGUCCAAGGUUAUGCGGCUGGGUUGGUGUUUCAAUCCUUCCACUGGAAGUCUUGCUUAGUCACAGGAGAUGGCCAGUUCAGGCUGUGUAUCUGCUAUUGCUAGGAGUCUUAGCUGGGGUCCUCCUUGUAGAUUCCCGGGAGUUUCCCUUGCACCAGGGUUCUACCUGCCCUGGAAAUGCUCCCCCGAACCGUCUCUUUCAGUACUCCCCCUCCAUCCACUGCUCAACCUGACCCCUCAUGUUCCCAUCCCCGGCUGCCCCCAGUCCACCCACAAGAUCUCUUCUAUUUCCCCUUCUCAAGGAGAUCCGUGGAUCCCCCCCUUGAGCCCUCCUUGUUACCUAGACUCUGUGUCUGUGGAUUGUAGCAUAAUUCUCCUUUAUUUUAUAGCUAAUAUUCACUUAUGAGUGAGUACAUACCAUGUUUGUCUUUCUGGGUCUGGGUUACCUCACUCAGGAUGAUUUUUUUCUAGUUCCAUCCAUUUGCCUGCAAAUUUCAUGACAUCAAUGUUUUUAACAGCUGAAUAAUACUCUAUUGUGUAAAUGUACCACAUUUUCUUUAUCCAUUCUUCAGUUGAGGGACAUCUAGGUUAUUUCCAGGUUCUGGGUAUUAUGAAUAAUAAAGCUGCUAUGAACAUAGUUGAGCAAGUGUCCUUGUGGUAAAAAUCAGUAGCCCUCUUAUAUACAAAAAAUAAAUGGGCUGCUGAGAAAGAAACCAGGGAAAAAAGGCCUUUCACAAUAGCCAGAGAAAAUAGAAAAUAUCUUGGGGUAACUCUAACCAAGCAAGUGAAAGACCUGUAUGACAAGUCUUUGAAGAAAGAAAUUGGAGAAGAUAUCAGAAGAUGGAAAGAUGUCUUAGUUAUGGUUUCUAUUGUUGUGAAGAGACACCAUGAUCACAGCAAUCCUUAUAAAGGAAAAAAACAUUUGCAGAGGUUUAGUCCAUUAUCAUCAUGGUGUGACAUGGUGGUGUGCAGGUAGACAUGAUGCUGGAGAAGUGUCCUACAUCUUGGCUUGCAGGCAACAGGAAGUGGUCUAAGACACUGGGUGGUAUCUGGAGCAUAUAUGAGACCUCAAAGCCUGACUCCACAGUGAUACACUUCCUUCAAUAAGAUCACAUUACUCCAACAGGCCAUACCUCCUAAUAGUGCCACUCCUUUUGGGGUCAUUUUCUUUCAAACAACCACAUUCUACUCCCUGGCUCCCAAAGGUGUAUAGCCAUAUCAUAAUGCAAAAAUGUAUUCAGUUCAACUUCAAAAGUGCCCAUAGUCUGUAACAGUCUCAAACUUAUUUCAAAGUCUAAAGUUCAAAGUCUCUUCUAAGAUCCAUGCAAUCACUUAACUGAAAUCCCCUGUUGCAAGUCGCAGGAAAAUGUAAUGGAAUUCAGCUACUAUCCCAAAAGCUACUACUUGGAAAGGUCAAGGACUUUUCCGAAGGUCAAGCCAUGGCUUAAGAAGUCUUGGUGAUAUUUUAGCUUGUAUAUAUAUGCUAAACAUAUAUAUAAGCUAAACAUAUAUGCAUAUAUAUAUAUGUUAGCUGAUUCUUGCAAUGAUUUCUUUGUAUGCUAUGUAUGCUUCCAAGAACUCAUAACAGUGUAUUUUAUCUGAAAUACCUAUCAAGCAUCCCAGGCCAAAUGAUCUCCUGAAUAAAGGCAAAUUAAGCUCGGACCCUCCUUUCUGAUACAGCCUUAGUGGUAUUUAUACUAACAUUAUAGACUCCUAACAUUUACCUAACCACCUCUAGGAAUGUAGUUUGAGCACAUAAAAUCCCUUUUUCUGAUAUAUUAACUGAUUUUAGCUCUUAGUUGACCUCCUCCUUUACCACUCCCCUUUUGGGUUGUAAAAGAAAGCCUGACAUCACUGCCUGAGGAAAACUCUUGUCUGCCUUUAUGACCCUGUAAGAAUUCAAGCCUGGGACUGGAGAUAUGGCUCAGCGAUUAAGGGCACUGGCUGCUCUUCCCAAGGUCCUGAGUUCAAUUCCUAGCAACCACAUGGUGGCUCACAGCCAUCUGUAAUGAGAUCUGGCACCCACUUCUGGCCAGCAGGCAUACAUGCAGACAGAACACUGUAUACAUAAUAAAUAAAUAAAUCUUUAAAAACAAAAAAAGAAUUCAAGCCUGGUGAUCUUGCUUGAGCUAGAGCACUGCUAUUGCAUGGGUAUUUAACUGUAAACCUCAGAGACUGAGGGAGGAUUUUGACUGGAGAACUAGAUGGAGAACUAGAAGAAUGAGAUGGAAGAUGAAGAAGAGCCAGAUGGGUAAGAAUGAGAUGGGUAAAAAUGAGAUGGGUAAGAAUGAGAUGGGGCAGAACUAAGAUGAGAGAAUUAAGAUAGAACUUAGAGGGAACAGCAGAUAAAUGUAGAGAGAAAUUAGGCAAGAAAGGAGCUAGGAAUGAUAACAGAACUGAAGUUGUGUUGAUAGGAUUUUAUGCCAGAGGAAUAAAGUAGAUGGACUAAGAGCUCGGUGUACUUAGAUUCUUUUCCUGAAAAUAAUUCACGCCAUUUGUAACUUCUCUUCUGGGCCCCUGGGAAGAAAACUAUUAAGGUUGGUCCUUAACAAUAUUUGAGACCUAGUGGCUGUAGCUGAGGAUAUACCCUGUCAGGACCCUAAGGGAAGGCCAAUAUAGAUGCCUAAAUGCUAACAACUAGUAUGGCCCAUUAAGCAGUACUUAAAACAUUCCACUGCUUUCCUAACCCAAAGUACCAAAAUCCAAAUUCCUCCAAACAAAAGCAUGGCCAGGCCUAUCACACAAUACCACAGUGCCUGAUAUCAACUUCUGUUUUAGUUAGGGUUUCUAUUGCUGUGAAGAGACACCAUGACCACAGUAAACCUUAUAAGGGAAAAAGUUAACUGGGGUGGCUCACAUUUACAAAGGUUUAGUCCAUUAUCGUUAUGGUGCAACAUGGUGAUAUGCAGGCAGACAUGUUGCUGGAGAAAUAGCUGAAUGUCCUAUAUCUUGACUUACAGGCAGCAGGAAGUGGUCUAAGACACUGGGUGGUGUCUUGAGCAUAUAUGAGACCUCAAAGCCCACUUCCACAAUGACACACUUCCUUCAAUGAGACCAUACCUACUCCAACAAGGACACACCUCCUAAUAGUGCCACUCCCUUUGGGGGUCAUUUUCUUUCAACUCACCACAAAAGAUCUUCCAUGCUCAUGGAUAGGUAGAAUUAACAUAUUAAAAAUGGCCAUGUUGCCAAAAGCAAUAUACAUAUUUAAUGCAAUCCUCAUUAAAAUCCCAACACAAUUCUUUACAGACCGGGAAAUUCUUUACAGAACAAUACUCAACUUCAUAUGGAGAAACAAAAAACUCAGAAUAGUUAAAACAAUCCUGUACAAUGAAAGAACUUCCGGAGGUAUCACCAUCCCUGAUUUCAAGUUGUACUGCAGUGUUAUGGUAAUAAAAACAGCAUGGUAUUGGCAUAAAAAGAGAGAGGUGAAUCAAUGGAAUCCAACUGAAGAUCCAAAUGUAAAGCCACACACCUAUAGACGCCUGAUUUUUUACAAAGAAGCCAAAAUUAUAUGAUGGAAAAAAGAAAGCAUCUUGAACAAUGGUGCUGGCAUAACGAGAUGUUGGCAUGUAGGAGAUUACAAAUAGAUCUAUAUCUAUCACUCUGCACAAAACUCAAGUCCAAGAGGAUAAAAGACCUCAACAUAAAAACAGUUACAUUAAACCUGAUAGAAGAGAAAGUGGGAAAUAACCUUGAACACAUUGGUAUUGGAGACAACUUCCUGAAUAGAACACCAGUAGCACAGACACUAAGAUAGACAAUAAAUGCAAACUCAUGAAACUGAAAAGCUUCUGUAAGGCCUUUAAAGGAUACUGUCAAUAGGACAAAAUGGCAGCCUACAGAAUAGGAAAAAAAAAAUCUUCACCAACCCCACAUCCAACAGAGGGCUGAUUUCUAAAAUAUAUAAAGAACUCAAGAAACUAGACAUCAAAACAAAGAAACAAAUAAUCCAAUUAAAAAUGGGGUACACAUCUAAAUAGAAGAAUCUCAAUUGACAGGGAAACACUUAAAGAAAUGUUCAACAUCCUUAGCCACCAGGGAAAUGCAAAUCAAAAUGACUCUGAGAGUCUAUCUUACACCUGUCAGAAUGGCUAAAACACAAAUGACAGCUCAUGCUGGAAAGGAUGUGGAGUAAGGGGAACAAUCCUCUAUUGCUGGUGGAAGUGCAAAUUUGUACAGCCACUUUGGAAAUCAAUAUGGCAGCUUCUCAGAAAAUUGGGAAUUGAUCUACCUCAAGACCCAGCUGUACCACUCUUGGGCAUGUACCCAAUGUGCUCAAUCAUAAAUGCUUCAUUUUUCUAAGAGUUGCCAGGUUAUGGUGUCUCUUCACAGCAAUAGAACACUGACUAAGACAGUGCCCUACGUCCACAGACCAAGGAGCUCACACUAGAGGCUGCCAAGGGAAUCCUAUAUGUAAGACUGGGAAAGUUGGGGAGCUGCCUGCUGCCCACAAGCACAAAGAGGAUGGCUAUAUGGGACAAGGACUUGUUAUGUGGACUAACCAGGGUAGCACUGGCCACAUAGAACUAUUAUAAAAACAGGAAAGGUUCACUCAGUACCCACAAAAGACUUGACCUAGUGGUGUGCAUCCCUCCUAGGCUAACAGUCAUGUGGGCUCCAGGUGAACAGGGCCUGGGGCAGAUGGGAGGCCAUCCCUCAGCAGAGCCUAGCUGUGAUCAGGUACAUUUCCAUGGCAAUGAGUCACAACUGAUUUCAGGAAAGGCCCAUGGGAAAAGUGAUUGGGUGGGGUGUUCUGCCUUGGGCUCUGACAGCGUAGACAUUUAUCUACCCAACAUUAACUACUCCCCUAUCCUCAAAGUUGAACUUGCCAAAUCCUGGGCCAGAGGAGCAGAGACCUCCUCCUGUGCUCUUUUGGCAACCUGCACUUCCGUCUUGGGGAUCCCCUUGCUGUGGUUCCACAAUGACAUUCCCCGGUGGGCCAAGCCACCUCUCCUAUGGCAUAGCCAUUCUCAAAUGCCAACACCUCAUCCCCUGCUCAUAGGAUGGACUGAAAGCAGAAAGAACUGUUGCCACUGUACCUGGGCAUACAGGGCUGCUGGGCCCAAGUCAUGGGGUACGGAUAGAAGAUGAAGAGGUUACUUUGAAAUCUAUUAUGGCAUGUUUGAUCAUGUUGAGAUUUAUUGUAGUGGUAUUUGCUCCACCCAUGACUUUGGGCUAUAGGGUCCGAAGGAGGCAGUGCAUCUUAUACGUGACCUCUUAAAAAGAAAAGGGUCAUGAGCCCCUUCUCCCUGCUGCCUGCUGCCUGAUGUGAUCUAACUGCCAGGUGGAUUCGCUCCCAGUCAGAUCAGAAGACUUCAGCUGUCUACUCCGUUCUAUAUUCCUGAGUGUAUUUCCUCAAUUUACCUUAAAAAAUUUCCCCAAUACUUAACCAGACUCCCAUAGAUUUGUUGCAUUAUCUAAGAAGAGAGAUGGCUCAGUGGUUAAGAGCACUAAUGUCCCAGAGAACCCAAGUUCAAUACCCAGGCCAUCUGGUGUCUGAUCCUACCAGGAUUUAAAAAAAAAAAAAAAAAAAGACCCACGUGACCAUGCCUCCUUCCAGCCUUAUAGCCCCAGGUAAUGGGGAGAGUAAAUACCACUACAAUUUGUGUUUAAGUUUAAACUUGGUCAUCUUUCCCAAUAUGCCAGUUAAAGACUUCAAUAGUGAGGAGUAUUUUUUUAACCUUUUAUUUAGUGUGUAUGUGUAUGUUAUGACACAAGUGGAGGUCUGAGAACAACUUGCAGGAGUCGGUUCUCUCCACUACACGGGUCCCAAGGAUCAAACUCAGGUCAUCAGGCUUAGCAACAUGUGCCUUAACAUGCUAUGUCAUCUCACAAGCCCAAAACAAGAGAUUUAAACAUGGUCAGGCUGGGAAAAAUGAAUGGUCCCCAAAGAACCUUUUGCAUACUGGCAUGAGCUUUAAACUUAAAUAAAAGUGAAGAGAUAACAUUAUCUGACUGGUUGUUUUCUCAAUUAUGGUUCUACAAGAUGGUUCAAGAAGUUCCUGUUGCUUGAGGAGAUGGAUCUCUGUAACACAUCUGGCAAGCCACCAGCCAGGAGGCGAGAAUAUCAGAUUCCCUGAAACUGGAGUUACAGCAGUUGGAGCUGCCUGGUGUGGGUGCUGGGAAGGAAACCUGGGUCCUCUGCAAGAACAAGCGCUCUUAACUAUCAAACCCUCUCUAGCCCCAUGAUACAAGAUUUUCUUUGUUGUUACUAUAAAAACUUUAUGAAAUUUACCAAGGGAAUACAGCAUUUGGAGCAAUCUGAAUCUGUUCCUAGGCCAUUGCCACUCGUUUGGAUCCAUGUUUGAGGUCAGAUCUGUGUUGUUGCUAUGUGUGUGAGUUGCUGGGAACUGAACUUAGGGCUUCAUACAUGCAUGAUGGGUAAGCACUCUACCCACUGAACUGUUUUCUCAGCCCCGUCAACAACUUUUGGCACCUAAACAUGAUGCUCUAAGGAUGAACCCCUUUCACCAGAAGAGAAGCCUGGACAGGUGUCAGGUACCAGAAUGUGCCCACUAUGCUCAACCACUUAGUGUCACCUCCUCAGGUAGAUGCUGGCAAGCUUUUUCAGGGACUUGGACUUGCUUGGUUUGGGCCACAGUCCACUGAUUUCUUCUGAGCUGGUGAACAGUCAGCAGUAUGGUGUCCACUGUGUUUUUUUCAGUGCGUGUGGCUUCAGAACAUUUGGUUUAAUUUGUUUUUAGAAUGUUUGGUUGCUAAUUUGUUAGCAUUCAGCCUCUUGUCUCUUUGCCACCACUUUAGUGUCUAAUUUAUGGAAGAAUAUUUGAAUAGUUGUCAUUUGGUUCCCUAGAUGGUUUUGUUUGGUAACUGUAUAAAUUCAAGUUAUAAAUAUUUUAAAACUGGAUAAAUAUAACUAGAGAUAAUUUGAUUUUAUGCUUCUUAAAAUGGGGAAUAUUUGAUUUCACACACCCCCCCAAAUUUGAAGACAUGGACAACGAUUAAAGAUUACAAAUGGACAGCAUACUUUAAUUGAAAUUUUAUUUUAUUUUUGGGUUUUCAAGACAGGGUUUCCUCUGUGUAGCCUUGGCUGUCCUGGAAUUCACUCUGUAGACCAGGCUGGUCUCGAACUUACAGAGAUCCACCUGCCUCUGCCUCUUGAGAGCUGGGAUUAAAGGCAUGUGCCACCACUACCAGGUCUAACUGAAAAUUUAAAACAUCUAAAGAAAAAACUGAAAUUUUAAUAUAUAAUUAAUAAGAGUUUUAAAACUACAUCUAAGAUAAAGAAAUGUUUAAAUGAGUAAGAAAUUAAUAAAAGGUUUAAUAAAGAUAAACUCUAAAAAAAAGGCUUUGUUUUCUGCACUGACUUUUUUCUCCUCUUUACCUUCAAACAGAACAAAAUUUUCUAGCAAAGAAAAGAACUGUUAGUCUAUUUUAGGAUAAAACCUAAAGAGAAAAGAGAUCCCAUUCUAAAAAUCCCCUGUUGUGAAGGUGACCCUCUGUUAAUUAACUCUUAAACAAGUAAGGAAAAUAAACUAAUCCUACCUAACAGCUUUACUUUGGAACUUUCUCCUCUCGUUAAACCCUUCUUACAUCUCAAAGAGGUAGAGUUUUAAUUCUGUAUGAGUUCUUCUUGCUGGGUGUAACCUAUUCUAAUUGUGUCAUGUCUGUUCAUGGUAAUUGUUUUCAUGUCAUCUUUGUCAUUUUGCAUUCUGAGAAAGAACUUAGUGAUGAAAGUCUGUGACCAUUUCAUUUAUACAUACAAAAACUUUGUUGUGUGCUUCUCUUAGCAUGCCUAAUUUUGCUUUUAAGAUUUAUGUGUACAAGUGUUUUGUCUGUAUGUACGUAUGUAUGUGCCACACAUGUAUGCCUCAGAGGUCAGAAGAGGGCAUUGGAUCCCAUGGACCUAGAGUUAUGAAUGGUCAUGUGCUACUUUUGGGUGCCGGAAAUUGAACUCAGGUUUUCUGCAAGUGCAACAAGUCCUCUUAAUUGCUAAGCUAUCACUCCAGCCUCAUUACCAUUACAUUAAAACAUGUAAGAAAACAUGAAUGUGUGAGAGAUAUAUUAAAAGGCCUGAUAAAUACAUACUGCCUUAUAAUAAAUGUAGGUAUUCUUAACUCUCUGAAACUUAAUGGUAUUUUUUUUGCCUAUCAAAUGUUUUAUGAAACCUUAAACUGCUACUUGUGUAUAUAAAAUGAACAGCAUUCAUUGGCAUCACAACAUGAAAGCUCCACUAAGCCAUUAAAUUUUACACUGGAUACAUAGAUUUUUAAUAAGGAUUUUCUUCUGAAACCGGUUCUGGAAAAGAUUAAAAUUUUAUUUCAUUUUUUUUAAAGUCAAGGGUAACAAAAAUAAAACAGCAUCCAAAUGAUUUAUGUUGAUCCCAUUCUCCGGAUGCUGUGUUAAGAAUUCUUCUGUUGGGCUGAUCCCUUUUAUAAGACUGCUCUUAGUGUACAAGUGAUGGACGUAAGAUUUCUGGAACGGUUGAGAUACAUCUAGAAUGAUGGAUAUGUUUGCCGAAGAUCUUUAAGUUGAACUUCCUUUCCAUAGUGAAAAUUAUAGGAGUUACAAUACCAUCAAGCAGUAACAUUAGACUGGGUAUACUUACUCUGUAUGUAAUAAAAAGGACAUAUUAAGUCUUACCAAAAAAGGAAAGUCUCCCUUAUUUUGGUGACAACUCUGCAUUGCUAAAAUUGUAUUUCUCUGGAGAUCCUGGACAGAGAUAAUAUACUGUAUCUGACAGGGUAUUAAAGCUGGUUAAAGAAGGGCACUAGAUGUUUGGAGACAAGAUACAGCCUGUAGAGGUCAUUGUAAGGGAGUGGCACCCGUGUCCAUAAGACCCAAGUCUCUGCAGCUUCAAGAACACAAGGACCCUACACCUAUAAGCUAUUAAAAGGCUGAAGGACUUAAAGAUCUCUUCAGACAACAAACAGGAUGCUUUAACUUCUUAAAGGCAAAGAUAAACUCUACUAUAAAUCUGUCAGUAAUUAUAACCUUGUUUUGGUUUUUUUCAUUCUUUUUCUUUUGGCACUGUUGGUACUCAAUGGUUACAACUCUAUACUAUCUUCCCCUUAACAUGUUCUACUACUGGAUUUUUUCCUUAAAAUUGUUCUGUUGUAUUUUGCCAUGAUCUUAAUGCAUAACCAUCGGUUGGGAUUUUUUUGUUUGUAUAUAUGGUUUUAUUUGUUUGUUUGUUAAUUUGUUUUAGCAGUCUAAAGGACCAUAUCCAGAACAAUUGCACAGCUUUUGGUUUUCUUGACUCUGGUCCUUUAUGGGGCCACUGGUUGGCAUAAUCAUAUUAUUCUUGCAUUGACAACUUGUUUAAGAUUUAUUUAAGUGUAUGGAUGUUUUGCUUGCAGAUAUGGAUGUGUAUCACAUGUGUGUCUGGUGCAUACAGAUGCCAAAAGAGGUCGUUAAAUCCUUAGGAACUGCAAUUAUGGAUGGUUGUGAGCUGCCAUGUGGGUGCUGAGAAUCAGACCCAGGUCCCCUGCAAGAGCAAUUAGUGCUCUUAACUGCUAAACCAUUUCUCCAGUCCAAAUUCUUGCAUUUUUUUUUUGAUCCUGUAAAAUCUGUGUCUUCUAGGAUAUGACAGUUUCAAACUUAACUCAUUAUGAUAUAGGGAUUCAAGUCAACUCCCACAACAAAAACUCCAAAGCCUCCUCUCCAACCAAUAGAUACAACAGGAAGAGAGCUUUGUAGUCUCUCUUUGGCAAGGACUACACUCCUCAUCAGCAAGGAAAUUGUACAAAAUAGAUUAUCAUCCUCAGAAAGAUUUUUUUUUUUUUUUUUGGUUUUUCGAGACAGGGUUUCUCUGUGUAGAUUUGCACCUUUCCUGGAUCUCGCUCUGUAGACCAGGCUGGCCUCGAA
Peromyscus californicus insignis is the source of this 13263-nucleotide long non-coding RNA. RefSeq lists it as uncharacterized. The record is from RefSeq and is a predicted model, not a curated record. The transcript is spliced from 3 exons. Lineage: Eukaryota; Metazoa; Chordata; Mammalia; Rodentia; Cricetidae.